Molecule: ribosomal RNA, 1121 nt
Filed under: Anabaena sp. VRES L2_7
Lineage: Bacteria; Bacillati; Cyanobacteriota; Cyanophyceae; Nostocales; Nostocaceae
Description: bacterial SSU rRNA
Rfam family: Bacterial small subunit ribosomal RNA
Source: RNAcentral
CAAUGGGCGAAAGCCUGACGGAGCAAUACCGCGUGAGGGAGGAAGGCUCUUGGGUCGUAAACCUCUUUUCUCAGGGAAGAAAAAAAUGACGGUACCUGAGGAAUAAGCAUCGGCUAACUCCGUGCCAGCAGCCGCGGUAAUACGGAGGAUGCAAGCGUUAUCCGGAAUGAUUGGGCGUAAAGGGUCCGCAGGUGGUACUGUAAGUCUGCUGUUAAAGAGCAAGGCUCAACCUUGUAAAAGCAGUGGAAACUACAGAACUAGAGUGCGUUCGGGGCAGAAGGAAUUCCUGGUGUAGCGGUGAAAUGCGUAGAUAUCAGGAAGAACACCGGUGGCGAAAGCGUUCUGCUAGGCCGUAACUGACACUGAGGGACGAAAGCUAGGGGAGCGAAUGGGAUUAGAUACCCCAGUAGUCCUAGCCGUAAACGAUGGAUACUAGGCGUGGCUUGUAUCGACCCGAGCCGUGCCGGAGCUAACGCGUUAAGUAUCCCGCCUGGGGAGUACGCACGCAAGUGUGAAACUCAAAGGAAUUGACGGGGGCCCGCACAAGCGGUGGAGUAUGUGGUUUAAUUCGAUGCAACGCGAAGAACCUUACCAAGACUUGACAUCCUGCGAAUCUUUGGGAAACUGAAGAGUGCCUUCGGGAGCGCAGAGACAGGUGGUGCAUGGCUGUCGUCAGCUCGUGUCGUGAGAUGUUGGGUUAAGUCCCGCAACGAGCGCAACCCUCGUUUUUAGUUGCCAGCAUUAAGUUGGGCACUCUAGAGAGACUGCCGGUGACAAACCGGAGGAAGGUGAGGAUGACGUCAAGUCAGCAUGCCCCUUACGUCUUGGGCUACACACGUACUACAAUGCUACGGACAAAGGGCAGCAAGCUAGCGAUAGCAAGCAAAUCUCAUAAACCGUAGCUCAGUUCAGAUCGAAGGCUGCAACUCGCCUUCGUGAAGGAGGAAUCGCUAGUAAUUGCAGGUCAGCAUACUGCAGUGAAUUCGUUCCCGGGCCUUGUACACACCGCCCGUCACACCAUGGAAGUUGGUCACGCCCGAAGUCAUUACCCCAACCGAAAGGAGGGGGAUGCCUAAGGUAGGACUGGUGACUGGGGUGAAGUCGUAACAAGGUAGCCGUAA